UACGUAGGGUGCAAGCGUUGUCCGGAAUUAUUGGGCGUAAAGAGCUCGUAGGCGGUUUGUCGCGUCUGCUGUGAAAACCCGAGGCUCAACCUCGGGCCUGCAGUGGGUACGGGCAGACUAGAGUGCGGUAGGGGAGAUUGGAAUUCCUGGUGUAGCGGUGGAAUGCGCAGAUAUCAGGAGGAACACCAAUGGCGAAGGCAGACUCUGGGCCGUAACUGACGCUGAGGAGCGAAAGCAUGGGGAGCGAACAGG
This 252-nucleotide ribosomal RNA is filed under the name uncultured bacterium. Its description in RNAcentral is "partial 16S ribosomal RNA". It matches the Rfam family "Bacterial small subunit ribosomal RNA", at positions 524 to 776 of the family's 1533-position model. The record is from RNAcentral.